UAAGCGACUAAGCGUACACGGUGGAUGCCCUGGCAGUCAGAGGCGAUGAAGGACGUGCUAAUCUGCGAAAAGCGCCGGCGAGGUGAUAUGAACCCUUGACCCGGCGAUGUCCGAAUGGGGAAACCCAGUGCAAUCCGUUGCACUAUCGUUAACUGAAUACAUAGGUUAACGAGGCGAACCGGGGGAACUGAAACAUCUAAGUACCCCGAGGAAAAGAAAUCAACCGAGAUUCCCCCAGUAGCGGCGAGCGAACGGGGAGCAGCCCGGAGUCUGAAUCAGCUUGUGUGUUAGUGGAACGGUCUGGAAAGUCCGACGGUACAGGGUGAUAGUCCCGUACACGAAAGCACACAUGCUGUGAACUCGAAGAGUAGGGCGGGACACGUGGUAUCCUGUCUGAAUAUGGGGGGACCAUCCUCCAAGGCUAAAUACUCCUGACUGACCGAUAGUGAACCAGUACCGUGAGGGAAAGGCGAAAAGAACCCCGGCGAGGGGAGUGAAAAAGAACCUGAAACCGUGUACGUACAAGCAGUGGGAGCCUCUUUAUGGGGUGACUGCGUACCUUUUGUAUAAUGGGUCAGCGACUUAUAUUCUGUAGCAAGGUUAACCGUAUAGGGGAGCCGAAGGGAAACCGAGUCUUAACUGGGCGUUAAGUUGCAGGGUAUAGACCCGAAACCCGGUGAUCUAGCCAUGGGCAGGUUGAAGGUUGGGUAACACUAACUGGAGGACCGAACCGACUAAUGUUGAAAAAUUAGCGGAUGACCUGUGGCUGGGGGUGAAAGGCCAAUCAAACCGGGAGAUAGCUGGUUCUCCCCGAAAGCUAUUUAGGUAGCGCCUCGUGAACUCAUCUUCGGGGGUAGAGCACUGUUUCGGCUAGGGGGCCAUCCCGGCUUACCAACCCGAUGCAAACUACGAAUACCGAAGAAUGUUAUCACGGGAGACACACGGCGGGUGCUAACGUCCGUCGUGAAGAGGGAAACAACCCAGACCGCCAGCUAAGGUCCCAAAGUCAUGGUUAAGUGGGAAACGAUGUGGGAAGGCACAGACAGCCAGGAUGUUGGCUUAGAAGCAGCCAUCAUUUAAAGAAAGCGUAAUAGCUCACUGGUCGAGUCGGCCUGCGCGGAAGAUGUAACGGGGCUAAACCAUGCACCGAAGCUGCGGCAGCGACGCUUAUGCGUUGUUGGGUAGGGGAGCGUUCUGUAAGCCGUUGAAGGUGUCCUGUGAGGGGUGCUGGAGGUAUCAGAAGUGCGAAUGCUGACAUAAGUAACGAUAAAGCGGGUGAAAAGCCCGCUCGCCGGAAGACCAAGGGUUCCUGUCCAACGUUAAUCGGGGCAGGGUGAGUCGACCCCUAAGGCGAGGCCGAAAGGCGUAGUCGAUGGGAAACAGGUUAAUAUUCCUGUACUUGGUGUUACUGCGAAGGGGGGACGGAGAAGGCUAUGUCAGCCGGGCGACGGUUGUCCCGGUUUAAGCAUGUAGGCGGAGGUUCCAGGUAAAUCCGGUACCUUAUUAACGCUGAGGUGUGAUGACGAGGCACUACGGUGCUGAAGUGAUAAAUGCCCUGCUUCCAGGAAAAGCCUCUAAGCAUCAGGUAACACGAAAUCGUACCCCAAACCGACACAGGUGGUCAGGUAGAGAAUACCAAGGCGCUUGAGAGAACUCGGGUGAAGGAACUAGGCAAAAUGGUGCCGUAACUUCGGGAGAAGGCACGCUGAUGUGUAGGUGAAGUCCCUGCGGACGGAGCUGAAAUCAGUCGAAGAUACCAGCUGGCUGCAACUGUUUAUUAAAAACACAGCACUGUGCAAACACGAAAGUGGACGUAUACGGUGUGACGCCUGCCCGGUGCCGGAAGGUUAAUUGAUGGGGUUAGCGGCAACGCGAAGCUCUUGAUCGAAGCCCCGGUAAACGGCGGCCGUAACUAUAACGGUCCUAAGGUAGCGAAAUUCCUUGUCGGGUAAGUUCCGACCUGCACGAAUGGCGUAAUGAUGGCCAGGCUGUCUCCACCCGAGACUCAGUGAAAUUGAACUCGCUGUGAAGAUGCAGUGUACCCGCGGCAAGACGGAAAGACCCCGUGAACCUUUACUAUAGCUUGACACUGAACACUGGUCCUUGAUGUGUAGGAUAGGUGGGAGGCUUUGAAGCGUGGACGCCAGUCUGCGUGGAGCCAACCUUGAAAUACCACCCUUUAAUGGCUGGUGUUCUAACGUAGACCCGUAAUCCGGGUUGCGGACAGUGUCUGGUGGGUAGUUUGACUGGGGCGGUCUCCUCCCAAAGAGUAACGGAGGAGCACGAAGGUUGGCUAAUCCUGGUCGGACAUCAGGAGGUUAGUGCAAUGGCAUAAGCCAGCUUGACUGCGAGCGUGACGGCGCGAGCAGGUGCGAAAGCAGGUCAUAGUGAUCCGGUGGUUCUGAAUGGAAGGGCCAUCGCUCAACGGAUAAAAGGUACUCCGGGGAUAACAGGCUGAUACCGCCCAAGAGUUCAUAUCGACGGCGGUGUUUGGCACCUCGAUGUCGGCUCAUCACAUCCUGGGGCUGAAGUAGGUCCCAAGGGUAUGGCUGUUCGCCAUUUAAAGUGGUACGCGAGCUGGGUUUAGAACGUCGUGAGACAGUUCGGUCCCUAUCUGCCGUGGGCGCUGGAGAAUUGAGGGGGGCUGCUCCUAGUACGAGAGGACCGGAGUGGACGCAUCACUGGUGUUCGGGUUGUCAUGCCAAUGGCACUGCCCGGUAGCUAAAUGCGGAAGAGAUAAGUGCUGAAAGCAUCUAAGCACGAAACUUGCCCCGAGAUGAGUUCUCCCUGAGACCUUGAGUCUCCUGAAGGAACGUUGAAGACGACGACGUUGAUAGGUCGGGUGUGUAAGCGCAGCGAUGCGUUGAGCUAACCGAUACUAAUGAACCGUGAGGCUUAACCU
Molecule: ribosomal RNA, 2902 nt
Filed under: Enterobacter hormaechei subsp. hoffmannii
Lineage: Bacteria; Pseudomonadati; Pseudomonadota; Gammaproteobacteria; Enterobacterales; Enterobacteriaceae
Description: bacterial LSU rRNA
Rfam family: Bacterial large subunit ribosomal RNA
Source: RNAcentral